Molecule: ribosomal RNA, 445 nt
Filed under: uncultured bacterium
Lineage: Bacteria
Description: bacterial SSU rRNA
Rfam family: Bacterial small subunit ribosomal RNA
Source: RNAcentral
AGCGAACGCUGGCGGCAGGCUUAACACAUGCAAGUCGAACGGGCGUAGCAAUACGUCAGUGGCAGACGGGUGAGUAACGCGUGGGAACGUACCUUUUGGUUCGGAACAACACAGGGAAACUUGUGCUAAUACCGGAUAAGCCCUUACGGGGAAAGAUUUAUCGCCAAAAGAUCGGCCCGCGUCUGAUUAGCUAGUUGGUGAGGUAACGGCUCACCAAGGCGACGAUCAGUAGCUGGUCGAGAGGAUGAUCAGCCACAUUGGGACUGAGACACGGCCCAAACUCCUACGGGAGGCAGCAGUGGGGAAUAUUGGACAAUGGGCGAAAGCCUGAUCCAGCCAUGCCGCGUGAGUGAUGAAGGCCCUAGGGUUGUAAAGCUCUUUUGUGCGGGAAGAUAAUGACGGUACCGCAAGAAUAAGCCCCGGCUAACUUCGUGCCAGCCGCCGC